Molecule: long non-coding RNA, 1062 nt
Organism: Bos taurus (domestic cattle)
Lineage: Eukaryota; Metazoa; Chordata; Mammalia; Artiodactyla; Bovidae
Source: Ensembl
UGACCAUUCACUGGAUGGCGAUCAUGCCAAUCCUUGACUCCUGGCAAAUGAGCUUAGAGCUGGCGCUGGAGGAAGUGGUCCCCGGUUGACCUUUAAGCUCCACCUACAGUCGCCAGCCCUUCAGGUUCCUUCCUGCCUGUACACCGCCAUCUCAGCCUCGGUCGUGGUGGGCCAGUCUGCAGGCCACCCCCUUCCAUUCCUGUCGUGGGGCCCACACCAGCAACUUCACAGACUCCUGUUCCCUGUGCAGCUGACAUCUCUGCCGCCCACACCCACACCCUGCGGUCUGUGCUGCCAACGGCAUCUCCUCCGCGACUCUAAGCUCGGCGGCUGCCAUCUUCCCCGUGGACAUCACUGCAGGCCCAUCACCGUCUGGCACAGUCUCUCCUGCCAUGUCUGCCACAGAGGAGCACGACUGGAUGCCAGUGAAAGGAAUACUUUUUCAACGAAGUUCUGACAGAAACAUACCAGAUGCGGUCAGACCCAGAUGAUUCUGAUCCCUUCUCCAAAGGGCCAGAAAUAAUCAGCAGCACAGGGUGUGAAAUCUACUGGAAAGACGGUAAAGACCUCACCCUGAAAACCCUGAAGCUGCAGAAAUUUCCGGUCCCAAAGUCUGUAUUAUACUUCACGAAAGAAGCGAGUGAUUAUCAGUAUGAAGAGUCUGAUGAAGAGGUCCAAGAAGCUGAAGGUGAGGAGGAGGACAGCGAUAAAAAACCAGAAGAAGGACCUGGAAAGGACCUGGACCCAGCAGAGGACAGCCCCGGAGAACCCAGCUGUCAAGCAUAGAAAGACAUGAUGGAGGAAGAAACAAUGGACGUGUCCCUCACGAAUGAGAUUUUCGGCUUCUCAGUAGCCAGUGGGAAUUUUAUCAACACUGGUUUUGUUCCAGAUUUCAUCAUGUGAAAUGUCUUAUCCACUGACAUCUGACUUUUUUUCUUACAUUUGUCAGAUAUAUUUGACUGCGUUUGUUCAUGAUAAAAAUAAAAAUUUGCUAGCCAUGGAUAAGCCGCAGAUUUUUCUGAUGUGUAACACUGAUGCAAAUCUUGUAUCUUUUUGUUUUUG